GGUCAAGAGUGGUGUGGUCAUAUAUAAUUCUAUACAAUAUUCACAUCUUCUCGUCACUACCACUUCCAUAACCAUUUCCAUAAGCUUUUCCGCCGCCACCUCCUCCAUAUCCUCUGGUUUAUGGUCUAUUUCCACUUAUGGAUCUUCUUUCUUCACUGAUUCCGUAAACACCAUCACCAUAAAAUCACCUCUUCCAUGACCGCCUCCACCUCGAGCAACACCUCCAUACACAUCUUUACCUUGUGUUCUCACUUUCGUUAGUUCCAUUUCCGUAACCAUGACCUCCACCACCAUAAGAUGAU
RNAcentral lists this long non-coding RNA (302 nucleotides) under Brassica napus (rape). Its description in RNAcentral is "long non-coding RNA (BNAP_LNC010700)". The record is from RNAcentral. Lineage: Eukaryota; Viridiplantae; Streptophyta; Magnoliopsida; Brassicales; Brassicaceae.